AUCGGUUUGGCAUACAGACCUUAUGAAAGCAGUUUUAGUAAAGCAGUCCUCAUUUCAAGCGAUAUCCUUAGAUACUCUUAUGCAUGAGCCUCCUCCUAAGUGCCCAAUAAGUCCUCAUCUGCAAGCAGGCCAUGUUCGCCGCCACGUGUGGCUCAAGAAAAUUUAAGGAAAUAUCUAUGUCUAACAAAAUGACUGGUUUAGUAAAAUGGUUUAACUCUGAAAAAGGCUUCGGCUUCAUUACCCCAGCCGAUGGUAGCAAAGAUGUAUUCGUACAUUUUUCUGCUAUUCAGAGCAGCGAUUACAAAACGCUGGAUGAAGGACAGAAGGUUGAGUUCUCGAUUGAGAAUGGUGCCAAAGGUCCGGCAGCUGCUAACGUUACCGCGCUUUAAUAGCUGAUAACGCCAUGAACACUUAUGACAGCGAUGAUGGCUUC
Regulatory RNA element from Enterobacter sp. 638, 433 nucleotides. It matches the Rfam family "cspA thermoregulator". The record is from Rfam. Lineage: Bacteria; Pseudomonadati; Pseudomonadota; Gammaproteobacteria; Enterobacterales; Enterobacteriaceae.